GGCUCAGGACGAACGCUGGCGGCGUGCCUAACACAUGCAAGUCGAACGGAGUCAGAAAGCUUGCUUUUGACUAGUGGCGGACGGGUGAGUAACGCGUGAGUAACCUGCCUCUGAGAGGGGAAUAACGUUCUGAAAAGAACGCUAAUACCGCAUAACGUAUUGAAGCCGCAUGACUUUGAUACCAAAGAUUUUAUCGCUCGGAGAUGGACUCGCGUCCGAUUAGUUAGUUGGUGAGGUAACGGCUCACCAAGACCGCGAUCGGUAGCCGGACUGAGAGGCUGAUCGGCCACAUUGGGACUGAGACACGGCCCAGACUCCUACGGGAGGCAGCAGUGGGGGAUAUUGCGCAAUGGGGGCAACCCUGACGCCAGCAACGCCGCGUGAAGGAUGAAGGUUUUCGGAUUGUAAACUUCUUUUAUCAGGGACGAAAUCUGACGGUACCUGAUGAAUAAGCUCCGGCUAACUACGUGCCAGCAGCGGC
RNAcentral lists this ribosomal RNA (481 nucleotides) under uncultured bacterium. RNAcentral describes it as "bacterial SSU rRNA". It matches the Rfam family "Bacterial small subunit ribosomal RNA", at positions 21 to 518 of the family's 1533-position model. The record is from RNAcentral.